This 370-nucleotide ribosomal RNA is filed under the name uncultured Lactobacillus sp. Its description in RNAcentral is "bacterial SSU rRNA". It matches the Rfam family "Bacterial small subunit ribosomal RNA", at positions 667 to 1035 of the family's 1533-position model. The record is from RNAcentral. Lineage: Bacteria; Bacillati; Bacillota; Bacilli; Lactobacillales; Lactobacillaceae.
CUCCAUGUGUAGCGGUGGAAUGCGUAGAUAUAUGGAAGAACAGCAGUGGCGAAGGCGGCUGUCUGGUCUGCAACUGACGCUGAGGCUCGAAAGCAUGGGUAGCGAACAGGAUUAGAUACCCUGGUAGUCCAUGCCGUAAACGAUGAGUGCUAGGUGUUGGAGGGUUUCCGCCCUUCAGUGCCGAAGCUAACGCAUUAAGCACUCCGCCUGGGGAGUACGACCGCAAGGUUGAAACUCAAAGGAAUUGACGGGGUCCCGCACAAGCGGUGGAGCAUGUGGUUUAAUUCGAAGCUACGCGAAGAACCUUACCAGGUCUUGACAUCUUGCGCUAACCUAAGAGAUUAGGCGUUCCCUUCGGGGACGCAAUGAC